Molecule: long non-coding RNA, 9822 nt
Filed under: Homo sapiens (human)
Lineage: Eukaryota; Metazoa; Chordata; Mammalia; Primates; Hominidae
Description: non-protein coding SMC5-AS1:6
Source: RNAcentral
AGACUGAGGGCGAAACAGCAGGCAGGACUGGGUGGAGACGUUCGGGGACGUGGCAACUGGAGUUUCUUCUCCGUAUAUUUCGGCAUUCAGUUCCUUUUUUUUUUUGUUUUAACUCAGGAAAAAAUCUCAAUUGCGUUUAGUAUUUUGAAAGCCACUUUAUUGCUUCCCGAGCCUCAGUCAUGUGUGGUGGGAGGCUGCUGUGGGUGGCACCUGGGGCGUCCACGGCCGCCAAGGCGGGAGGACGUCAGGCCCUGCUUGCUCCCACCCCUUCCAGGUGAGAGCUCCCGGGCACGCCCGUCGUUGGCUCUUCGUCCUCUUGGUGUUCUUCCCUGUUGCUUCAAAUCAGGUUCCUGUCUCAAAAAUCCGAAAAAGAAAUCCUCCCAAAUGACUCUGUGCCCGACGCUCCGUUAAGGCAUCGUGCUAGGCGUUCUCAAACUCGUGAAAUGACUACACUGCACAGGUUAACCUCAUUGCUACUCUUCCCCUUGCCUCCUAAUUCUCUGGUUAAACUUCCGCCCCCGAGGUUUCUAGAAAUCCCUGAGCUGGAAUGCGCUGCCUUCAUUAAGAGGGUGUUCUGCUUCCGUCUGCUCACAUUCAUCUAGUAAGCCCUCUCGUUAAAGAGGAGGCAGCACACCGAGGCCUGUCUAGAACUUCUUUCAUUUAACCAACAGUGAAUAUCUAAUCUACAAGAAACUGGAGCCGUGGCAGUUUAGGAGCCUGCCAAGGUUGCAUCCCUGGGAGCUUAUUUUCUAUUGUGGGAGACAGGAAAAGAACAAGUGAAUCAACUGUGAAAUUAAAUAAUUCAAACUUAAAGCUGUUGGAACUUUAAAUUAUUCUGAGCCUUGCGAAGAAUGUGGCGAUGGGGCCUGAGUCCCAUGGCAUACAGCUGCAAUGUCUGCCUUGUUUUUUCCUAUAAUCAGGAAGACCAAACAGAGACAGAGGUAUUGCUGAUGCUGCUGGUACCUGGACCAAACUUUGAGAACCAUUUGAAUACAGAAGGAGUACCCUAAUAGCCUAACAAAAUUAAUCCAUCAUCUCUGAAUAAUGAUCAAUUAUAUUAGCGCACACACCAAGAAAGGCCAUGUGGGCACACAGCAAGAUGGUGCCUGUCUGCAAACUAGGAAAAGAGCCCUCACCAGGAACUGAAACAGCUGGCACCUUGAUGUUGGACUUUCCAGCCUCCACAACUGUGAGAGUGAUCAUGGCUGUGCAUUCCUACUGGUAACAGUACAAGUCUUGACCAGGAUUAUUCUGAGGUCCUGGAAGAGAGGAAACCUCUUAAUUAUCCCCAGGAUCAUUCGAUUGACUUCUUUCUUUCAUGGGCACAAUGGACUAAUUCAUUUAGUUUGUGAGGGUGAAGCACUAGUCUGGUUGACCAGUUCUUCCCAACAGGUUUGGACUCUAACUAAAUCAGGGAUAGCCUGCACAGCCUCCUCUAACCAUCUGUUCUUUGGACCACACACAUCUCUACAGAUGUGACUCCUGAAGUCUACUAUGCUUUCAGUUCAUGUGCCCCUGGGCCACAGGUAUCAGGCUGAAACUAUUCACUAAGGUUUCCAGUUCCAGGAACCUUUGUAUUUAGUACCAUAAAAUAGGAGGAGGUUCCAAGAUGGCCAAAUAGGAACAGCUACAGUCUACAGCUCCCAGCAUGAGUGACGCAGAAGACGGGUGAUUUCUGCAUUUCCAACUGAGGUACUGGGUUCAUCUCACUGGGGCUUAUUGGACAGCGGAUGCAGCCCACGGAGUGUGAGCUGAAGCAGGGUGGGGCAUCACCUCACCCGGAAAGCGCAAGGGGUCGCAGAAUUCCCUUUCCUAGCCAAGGGAAGCCGUGACAAGGGAAACCUGGAAAAUCAGGACACUCCCACUCUAAUACUGCACUUUUCCAACAGUCUUAGCAAAUGGCACACCAGGAGAUUAUAUCCCGUGCCUGGCUCAGAGGGUCCCAAACCCACAGAGCCUCGCUCACUGCUAACACGGCAGUCUGAGAUUGAACUGCAAGGCAGCAGCGAGGCUGGGGAAGGGGCAUCUGCCAUUGCUGAGGCUUGAGUAGGUACACAAAGCGGCCAGGAAGGGCCAACUGGGUGGAGCCCACCACAGCUCAAGGAGGCCUGCCUGCCUCUGUAGACUCCACCUGUGGGGGCAGGGCAUAGCUGAACAAAAGGCAGCAGAAACUUCUGCAGACUUAAACGUCCCUGUCUGACAGCUUUGAAGAGAGUAGUGGUUCUCCCAGCAUGGAGUUUGAGAUCUGAGAACAGACAGACUGCCUCCUCAAGUGGGUCCCUGACCCCCAAGUAGCCUAACUGGGAGACACCUCCCAGUAGGGGCCAACUGACACUUAAUACAGCUGGGUGCCCCUCUGAGACAAAGCUUCCAGAGGAAUGAUCAGGCAGCAACAUCUGCCAUUCUGCAAUAUUUGCUGUUCUGCAGCCUCCGCUGCUGAUACCCAGGCAAACAGAGUCUGGAGUGGACCUCCAGCAAACUCCAACAGACCUGCAGUUGAGGGUCCUGACUGUUAGAAAGAAAACUAAUGAACAGAAAGGACAUCCACACCAAAACCCCAUCUGUACGUUACCAUCAUCAAAGACCAAAGGUAGAUAAAACCACAAAGAUAGGGAGAAACCAGAGCAGAAAAGCUGAAAAUUCUAAAAAUCAGAGCACCUCUUCUAUUCCAGAGGAACGUAGCUCCUCAUCAGUAACGGAACAAAGCUGGAUGGAGAAUGACUUUGACGAGUUGAGAGAAGAAGGCUUCAGACGAUCGGUAAUAACUAAUAGCUAAAGGUGGAUGUUUGAACCCAUCACAAAGAAGCUAAAAACCUUGAAAAAAGAUUAGAUGAAUGGCUAACUAGAAUAAACAGUAUAGAGAAGACCUUAAAUGACUUGAUGGAGCUGAAAACCAUGGCAAGAGAACUAUGUGAUGCAUGCACAAGCUUCAGUAGCUGAUUCGAUGAAAUGGAAGAAAGGUAAUCAGUGAUUGAAGAUCAAAUUAAUGAAAUGAAGUGAGAAGAGACGUUUAGAGAAAAAAAGAGUGAAAAGAAAUGAACAAAGCCUCCAAGAAAUAUGGGACUAUGUCAAAAGACCAAAUCUACAUCUGAUUGGUGUACCUGAAAGUGACGGGGAGGAUGGAACCAAGUUGGAAAACAGUCUUCAGGAUAUUAUCCAGGAGAACUUCCCCAACCUACCAAGGCAAGCCAACAUAGAAAUUCAGGAAAUUCAGAGAACGCCACAAAGAUACUCCUCGAGAAGAGCAAUCCCAAGACACAUAAUUGUCAGAUUCACCAAAGUGGAAAUGGAGGAAAAAUGUUAAGGGCAGCCAGAAAGGUCAGGUUACCCAUAAAGGGAAGCCCAUCAAACUAAUAGCUGAUCUCUUGGCAGAAACUCUACAAGCCAGAAGAGAGUGGGGGCCAAUAUUCAACAUUCUUAAAGAAAAGAAUUUUCAACCCAGAAUUUCAUAUCCAGCCAAACUAAGCUUCAUAAGUGAAGGAGAAAUAAAAUCCUUUAUAGACAAACAAAUGCUGAGAGGUUUUGUCACUACCAGGCCUGUCUUACAGAGCUCCCGAAGGAAGCACUAAACAUGAAAAGGAACAACCGGUACCAGCCACUGCAAAAACAUGCCAAAUUGUAAAGACCAUCAAUGCUAGGAAGAAACUGCAUCAACUAAUGAACAAAAUAACCAGCUAACGUCAUGACAGGAUCAAAUUCACACAUAACAAUAUUAACCUUAAAUGUAAAUGGGCUAAAUGCUCCAAUUAAAAGACACAGACUGGCAACUUGGAUAAAGAGUCAAGACCCAUCAGUGUGCUGUAUUCAGGAAACCCAUCUCACAUGCAAAGACACACAUAGGCUCAAAAUAAAGGGAUGGAGGAAGACCUACCAAGCAAAUGGAAAACAAGAAAAAGGCAGGGGUUGCAAUCCUAGUCUUCGAUAAAACAGACUUUAAACCAACAAAGAUCAAAAGAGACAAAGAAGGCCAUUACAUAAUGGUAAAGGGAUCAAGUCAACAAGAACUAACUAUCCUAAAUAUAUAUGCACCCAAUACAGAAGCAUCCAGAUUCAUAAAGCAAGUCCUUAGAGACCUACAAAGAGACUUAGACUCACAUACAAUAAUGAUGGGAGACUUUAACACCCCACUGUCAACAUUAGACAGAUCAACGAGACAGAAAGUUAACAAGGAUAUCCAGGAAUUGAACUCAUCUCUGCACCAAGCAGACCUAAUAGAUAUCUGCAGAACUCUCCACCCCAAAUCGACAGAAUAUACAUUCUUCUCAGCACCACAUUGCACUUAUUCCAAAAUUGACCACAUAGUUGGAAGUAAACCAUUCCUCAGCAAAUGUAAAAGAACAGAAAUUAUAACAAACUGUCCCUCAGACCACAGUGCAGUCAAACUAGAACUCAGAAUUUAAAAACUCACUCAAAACCGCUCAACUACAUGGAAACUGAACAACCUGCUCCUGAAUGACUAUUGGGUACAUAACGAAAUGAAGGCAGAGAUAAAGAUGUUCUCUGAAACCAAUGGGAACAAAGACACAAUAUACCAGAAUCUCUGGCACACAUUUAAAGCAGUGUGUAGAGGGAAAUUUAUAGCACUAAAUGCCCACAAGAGAAAGCAGGAAAGAUCUAAAAUUGACACCCUAACAUCACAAUUAAAAUAACUAGAGAAGCAAGAGCAAACACAUUCAAAAGCUAGCAGAAGGCAAGAAAUAACUAAGAUCAGAGCGGAACUGAAAGAGAUAGAGAUACGAAAGACCCUUCAAAAAAAUCAGUGAAUCCAGGAGCUGGUUUUUUAAAAAGAUCAAUAAAAUAGAUAGAUAGAUAGACCGCUCAGACUAAUAAAAAAGAACAGAGAAGAAUCAAAUAGAUGCAAUAAAAAAUGAUAAAGGGAAUAUCACAACUGAUCCUACAGAAAUACAAACUACCAUCAGAGAAUACUAUAAACACCUCUAUGAAAAUAAACUAGAAAAUCUAGAAGAAAUGGAUAAAUUCCUCAACACAUAUGCCCUCCCAAGACUAAACCAGGAAGAAGUUGAAUCCCUGAAUAGAGGAAUAACAGACUCUGAAAUUGAGGCAAUAAUUAAUAGCCUACCAACCAAAAAAAGUCCAGGACCAGAUGGAUUCACAGCCGAAUUCUACCAGAGGUACAAAGAGGAGCUGGUACAAUUCCUUCUGAAACUAUUCGAAUCAACAGAAAAAGAGGGAAUCCUCCCUAAUUCAUUUUAUGAGGCCAACAUCAUCCUGAUACCAAAGCCUGGCAGAGACGCAACAAAAAAGCAAAUUUUAGACCAAUAUCCCUGAUGAACAUCGACGCAAAAAUCCUCAAUAAAAUACUGGCAAACCGAAUCCAGCAGCACAUCAAAAAGCUUAUCCACCAUGAUCAAGUUGGCUUCAUCCCUGGGAUGCAAGGCUGGUUCAGCAUACACAAAUCAAUAAACAUAGUCCAUCAUAUAAACAGAACCAAAGACAAAAACCACAUGAUUAUCUCAAUAGACACAGAAAAGGCCUUUGACAAAAUUCAGCAGCCCUUCAUGCUAAAAAUUCUUAAUAAACUAGGUAUUGAUGGGACAUAUCUCAAAAUAAUAGCUAUCUAUGACAAACCCACAGCCAAUAUCAUACUGAAUGGACAAAAACUGGAAGCAUUCCCUUUGAAAACUGGCACAAGACAGGGAUGCCCUCUCUCACCACUCCUAUUCAGCAUAGUGUUGGAAGUUCUGGCCAGGGCAGUCAGGUAAGACAAAGAAAUAAAGGGUAUUAAGUUAGGAAAAGAGAAAGUCAAAUUGUGCCUGUUUGCAGAUGACAUGAUUGUAUAUUUAGAAAACCCCAUCAUCUCAGCCCAAAAUAUCCUUAAGCUGAUAAGCAACUUCAGCAAAGUCUCAGGAUACAAAAUCAAUGUGCAAAAAUCACAAGCAUUCCUAUACACCAAUACCAGACAAACAGAGAGCCAAAUCAUGAGUGAACUUCCCAUUCACAAUUGCUUCAAAGAGAAUAAAAUACCUAGGAAUCCAACUUACAAGGGAUGUGAAGGACCUCUUCAAGGAGAACUACAAACCACUGCUCAAUGAAAUAAAAGAGGACACAAAGAAAUGGAAGGACAUUCCAUGCUCAUGGAUAGGAAGAAUCAAUAUCAUGAAAAUGGCCAUACUGCCCAAGGUAAUUUAUAGAUUCAAUGCCAUCCCCAUCAAGCUACCAAUGACUUUCUUCACAGAAUUGGAAAAAACUACUUUAAAGUUCAUGUGGAAUCAAAAAAGAGCCCUCAGUGCCAACGCAAUCCUAAGCCAAAAGAACAAAGCUGGAAGCAUUACGCUACCGGACUGCAAACUAUACUACAAGGCUACAGUAACCAAAACAGCAUGGUACUGGUACCAAAACAGAGAUAUAGACCAAUGGAACAGAACAGAGCCCUCAGAAAUAAUACCACACAUCUACAACCAUCUGAUCUUUGACAAACCUGACAAAAACAAGAAAUGGGGAAAGGUUUCCCUAUUUAAUAAAUAGUGCUGGGAAAACUGGUUAGCCAUAUGUGGAAAGCUGUAACUGGAUCCCUUCCUUACACCUUAUACAAAAAUUAAUUCAAGAUGGAUUAAAAACUUAAAUGUUAGACCUAAAACCAUAAAAACCCUAGAAGAAAACCUAGGCAAUACCAUUCAGGACAUAGGCAUGGGCAAGGACUUCAUGUCGAAAACACCAAAAGCAAUGACAACAAAAGCCAAAAUUGACAAAUGGGAUCUAAUUAAACUAAAGAGCUUCUGCACAGCAAAAGAAACUACCAUCAGAGUGAACAGGCAACCUACAGAAUGGGAGAAAAUUUUUACAAUCUUCCCAUCUGACAAAGGGCUAAUAUCCAGAAUCUACAAAGAACUUAAAACAAAUUAACAAGAAAAAAAUCAAACAGCCCCAUCAAAAAGUGGGCAAAGGAUAUGAACGGACACUUCUCAAAAGAAGACAUUUAUGCAGUCAACAGACACAUGAAUAAUGCUCAUCAGCACUGGCCAUCAGAGAAAUGCAAAUCAAAACCACAAUGAGAUACCAUCUCACACCAGUUAGAAUGACGAUCAUUAAAAAGUCAGGAAACAAAAGGUGCUGGAGAGGAUGUGGAGAAAUAGGAACACUUUUACACUGCUGGUGGUUCUGUAAACUAGUUCAGCCAUUGUGGAAGACAGUGUGGUGAUUCCUUAAGGAUCUAGAACUAGAAAUACCAUUUGAUCCAGCCAUCCCAUUACUGGGUAUAUACCCAAAGGAUUAUAAAGCAUGCUGCUAUAAAGACACCUGCAUAUGUAUGUUUAUUUCAGCACUAUUCACAAUAGCAAAGCCUUGGAACCAACCCAAAUGUCCAUCAAUGAUAGACUGGAUUAAGAAAAUGUGGCACAUAUACACCAUGGAAUACUAUGCAGCCAUAAAAAAGGAUGAGUUCUUGUCCUUUGUAGGGACAUGGAUGAAGCUGGAAACCAUCAUUCUCAGCAAACUAUCACAAGGACAGAAAACCAAACACUGCAUGUUCUCACUCAUAGGUGGGAAUUGAACAAUGAGAACACUUGGACACAGGGUGGGGAACAUCACACACCGGGGCCUGUGGUGGGGUGGGGAGAGAGAGGAAGGAUAGCAUUAGGAGUUAUACCUAUUGUAAAUGACGAGUUAAUGGGUGCAGCACACCAACAUGGCACAUGUAUACAUAUGUAACAAAUGUGUACGUUGUGCACAUGUACCCUAGAACUUAAAGUAUAAUAAUAAUAAAAAAAGAUAUAUACCAAAAAAAAUAUGAAACAAAGUCUCCUAUGUUGCUUGUUGUAUAAUUGUGCUGCUUUUGGAAGAGAGGAGUAACAUCGAGGGGACUAUAAAUGCCCACUACUUUUCUUGAAUAAUUUUGGUCUUUGUAAAUAUCCUUCAGGAUAUAGUUUAUAUUCUAAGCACACACAGUAGUCUUCCUGAUCCUUAGUGUAUGUGUUCCAGGACCCCUAGUGGAGCCUGAAACCACAGAUAAUACCAAGCCGUGUAUAGACUGUUCCUGUACACAUAUACCUGUGAUAAAUUUUGUUAUAAAUUAGAUGCUGUAAGAGAUUAACAACAAUAACUCACAAUAAAAUAGAACAAUUAUAACAAUACUCUGGUGCACAAUUUAAAACUUAUAAAUUGGCCAGUUCUGGAAUUUCCCAUUUAAUAUUUUCAGACUGCCAUUGACUGAGAGUAACUGAAACUCUCAGUUGGAAAGUGAACCUGUGGAUAAGGGAGGACUACUUUAUGUCUAUUCCAUAAAGCAGUACCUAUGUAGAGUAAUGUAGACAAACAUCUUACCUAAACAUAAUUUUAACAAACUUACCAAUGAAUCAGAGUAUGCCCCUUUGAUGCACAAACCAGUCAUUCGUUUUGAUGACAAGUAUUUUUUUCUUCUUGACUUGCAAAUGACACUUGGUUUCCCCAGAAAAGAUCAGAACUUCACGCAGAGCCACUCUGCCUCACAUGUGUUUGGAAAGCAGAGAAAAGCCCUGUUUGACAAGUUUUACCACAUUACAGCUUCAAGCACUGUCUGUCUCAGCAAAGAAAAGCUCUGGAUGGGAGCCAGGAAGCCCCAGUAUUGAAGCUUCAGACCAGCUCACAUGUUGUUGCACAUGAAGGAUUCCAGUCUGUGGAAGGGAUUAUUAACUGGAGAAAAUAAAUUACAUUCUCUCUGUGGGUCACUGUUUAACAUUCAAGAUGGGGGUUCCAAUGGAUCUAUUGGGAGAUCAGGGUCCCCUCUGUUCUUUGCACAGCAACUGUGAUGUGUUGAGACACACAGACACAUUCCACAUCCAUAAUUCUGGACUGUGAAGCAGCUGUUCCUCCAGUCUCAGGGCUCUUUUUCAGGGUAGGGAAGGAGCCUGAGUGGCCUGCAUGGAGAGGCUGUGUGGAAUGGACAGCUAGCUGCAUUCCUUAGCUGGAAAAGAAUUCUUAAAAAUCAGGGGAAAAAGAUACCAAUAUUUUGUGAAGAACAAUUGUAGAAGGUGUCGCUCUAAAAUUUCUCUUUACUAUACUUUUAAGUGAUUUUAAAAGGCUGUCAUAAAUGAGGAGUUAUUGUUUAAUGGGUACGGAGUUUCAGUUUUGGGAAAUGAAAAAAAAGCUCUGGAGAUGGAUGGUGGUGAUGGUUACACAAUGAUGUGAAUAGACUCAGUGCCACUGAAUUAGACACUUAAAAUGGUUAAAGUAUGUUAUGUGCAUUUUACCACCAAUUUUUUAAAAAGCUUGUCACAGAAGCCUUCUCUGUGUAAGUAGAAUCUGGCAAUGUCAGAAACUAACAUAAUUAAAAAAUAAGCGGGGAGGAGCCAAGAUGGCCGAAUAGGAACAGCUCUGGUCUACAGCUCCCAGCGUGAGCGAGGCAGAAGACGGGUGAUUUCUGCAUUUCCAUCUGAGGUACCGGGUGCAUCUCACUAGGGAGUGCCAGACAGUGGGGGCAGGCCAGUGGGUGUGCGCACCAUGCGCGAGCUGAAGCAGGGCGGGGCAUUGCCUCACCUGGGAAGCACAAGGGGUCAGGGAGUUCCCUUUCCAAGUCAAAGAAAGGGGUGAAGGACACACCUGGAAAAUCGGGUCACUCCCACCCGAAUAUUGCUCUUUUCAGACCGGCUUAAAAAACGGCGCACCACGAGACUAUAUCCCACACCUGGCUCGGAGGGUCCUACGCCCACGGAAUCUCGCUGAUUGCUAGCACAGCAGUCUGAGAUCAAACUGCAAGGCGCCAGCGAGGCUGGGGGAGGGGCGCCCGCCAUUGCCCAGGCUUGCUUAGGUAAACAAAGCAGCCGGGAAGCUCGAACUGGGUGGAGCCCACCACAGCUCAAGGAGGCCUGCCUGCCUCUGUAGGCUCCA